AAAUUGAAGAGUUUGAUCAUGGCUCAGAUUGAACGCUGGCGGCAGGCCUAACACAUGCAAGUCGAACGGUAACAGGAAGCAGCUUGCUGCUUUGCUGACGAGUGGCGGACGGGUGAGUAAUGUCUGGGAAACUGCCUGAUGGAGGGGGAUAACUACUGGAAACGGUAGCUAAUACCGCAUAACGUCGCAAGACCAAAGAGGGGGACCUUCGGGCCUCUUGCCAUCGGAUGUGCCCAGAUGGGAUUAGCUAGUAGGUGGGGUAACGGCUCACCUAGGCGACGAUCCCUAGCUGGUCUGAGAGGAUGACCAGCCACACUGGAACUGAGACACGGUCCAGACUCCUACGGGAGGCAGCAGUGGGGAAUAUUGCACAAUGGGCGCAAGCCUGAUGCAGCCAUGCCGCGUGUAUGAAGAAGGCCUUCGGGUUGUAAAGUACUUUCAGCGGGGAGGAAGGGAGUAAAGUUAAUACCUUUGCUCAUUGACGUUACCCGCAGAAGAAGCACCGGCUAACUCCGUGCCAGCAGCCGCGGUAAUACGGAGGGUGCAAGCGUUAAUCGGAAUUACUGGGCGUAAAGCGCACGCAGGCGGUUUGUUAAGUCAGAUGUGAAAUCCCCGGGCUCAACCUGGGAACUGCAUCUGAUACUGGCAAGCUUGAGUCUCGUAGAGGGGGGUAGAAUUCCAGGUGUAGCGGUGAAAUGCGUAGAGAUCUGGAGGAAUACCGGUGGCGAAGGCGGCCCCCUGGACGAAGACUGACGCUCAGGUGCGAAAGCGUGGGGAGCAAACAGGAUUAGAUACCCUGGUAGUCCACGCCGUAAACGAUGUCGACUUGGAGGUUGUGCCCUUGAGGCGUGGCUUCCGGAGCUAACGCGUUAAGUCGACCGCCUGGGGAGUACGGCCGCAAGGUUAAAACUCAAAUGAAUUGACGGGGGCCCGCACAAGCGGUGGAGCAUGUGGUUUAAUUCGAUGCAACGCGAAGAACCUUACCUGGUCUUGACAUCCACAGAACCUUGUAGAGAUACGAGGGUGCCUUCGGGAACUGUGAGACAGGUGCUGCAUGGCUGUCGUCAGCUCGUGUUGUGAAAUGUUGGGUUAAGUCCCGCAACGAGCGCAACCCUUAUCCUUUGUUGCCAGCGGUCCGGCCGGGAACUCAAAGGAGACUGCCAGUGAUAAACUGGAGGAAGGUGGGGAUGACGUCAAGUCAUCAUGGCCCUUACGACCAGGGCUACACACGUGCUACAAUGGCGCAUACAAAGAGAAGCGACCUCGCGAGAGCAAGCGGACCUCAUAAAGUGCGUCGUAGUCCGGAUUGGAGUCUGCAACUCGACUCCAUGAAGUCGGAAUCGCUAGUAAUCGUGGAUCAGAAUGCCACGGUGAAUACGUUCCCGGGCCUUGUACACACCGCCCGUCACACCAUGGGAGUGGGUUGCAAAAGAAGUAGGUAGCUUAACCUUCGGGAGGGCGCUUACCACUUUGUGAUUCAUGACUGGGGUGAAGUCGUAACAAGGUAACCGUAGGGGAACCUGCGGUUGGAUCACCUCCUUACCUUAAAGAA
This 1552-nucleotide ribosomal RNA is filed under the name Escherichia fergusonii. RNAcentral's name for it is "bacterial SSU rRNA". It matches the Rfam family "Bacterial small subunit ribosomal RNA". Lineage: Bacteria; Pseudomonadati; Pseudomonadota; Gammaproteobacteria; Enterobacterales; Enterobacteriaceae. The record is from RNAcentral.